RNAcentral lists this unclassified non-coding RNA (938 nucleotides) under Hevea brasiliensis (rubber tree). Lineage: Eukaryota; Viridiplantae; Streptophyta; Magnoliopsida; Malpighiales; Euphorbiaceae. The record is from RNAcentral.
GGGGGGUCUGAUGGUGGUCCACCUGCUGCAUUCACCUCUGGUGCAGUCCCAUCGUCUGGAGGAAUUGCUUCUUCCACUCAGGCUUCAAGUGGAUCACUUAUUAAGAGGUCUGCAGCGAGCAUGCUGAGUGGAAAGAAGCCUGUCCAAGCCGCUCCUCCUAGUAAGAAAGGGACAUCUGCAAAAUCUGGUACAAGUAAGAAGGGUGAUGGAACUUCUCAGUUAAAAGCAUCUAAGUCUGUUGAAGUUGAAGAUGUUGAGCCCACAGAGAUGAGUCUUGAAGAAAUUGAAAGUAAGUUAGGGUCCCUUAUACAGACGGAGACGAUUACUCAGUUGAAGAGUGCUGUGUGGAAAGAGAGGCUUGAAGCUAUUAAUUCAUUCAAAGAACAGGUUGAAGCGCUACAAGUGCUUGACCCUUCAGUGGAGAUUUUGGUCCGUCUUCUCUGUGCUGUUCCUGGUUGGAGUGAAAAGAAUGUCCAGGUCCAACAGCAGGUUAUUGAUGUAAUUUCCCACAUUGCUUCAACUGCUUCAAAAUACCCAAAGAAAUGUGUUGUGCUUUGCAUUCAAGGUGUGAGUGAAAGGGUUGCUGACAUUAAGACUCGUGCUCAGUCCAUGAAAUGUCUAACUACGUUUUGUGAAGCUGUGGGCCCAGGGUUUAUUUUUGAGAGACUGUAUAAAAUUAUGAAAGAGCACAAGAACCCUAAGGUUCUUAGUGAAGGCAUAUUGUGGAUGAUUACUGCAGUGGAUGACUUUGGUGUUUCACUGCUUAAACUAAAGGAUUUAAUUGAUUUCUGCAAAGAUACUGGCUUGCAAUCCAGUGCCCCUGCCACAAGGAAUGCAACCAUUAAACUUAUUGGCACUUUACACAAGUUUGUCGGUCCAGAUAUCAAAGGGUUCUUGUCAGAUGUAAAACCUGCUCUUGUUAGUGCACUUGAUGCAGA